This 757-nucleotide small RNA is filed under the name Pongo abelii (Sumatran orangutan). Its description in RNAcentral is "processed transcript". Lineage: Eukaryota; Metazoa; Chordata; Mammalia; Primates; Hominidae. The record is from RNAcentral.
CGGCUUUCUUCUCGUCUGUAUUCCCGGCUGCUAUAGAGCCGGGUUAGAGAGCGAGCGCCCGUCCGCGGGCGUCGAGGGCGGGUUGCCUCGCGCUGACCCUUCCCGCCCUCGUUACACACCAGGUCCCCGCGGAAGCGGCGGUGUCGGCGCCAUGGCGGAGCUGACGGCUCUUGAGAGUCUCAUCGAGAUGGGCUUCCCCAGGGGACGCGCGGAGAAGGCUCUGGCCCUCACAGGGAACCAGGGCAUCGAGGCUGCGAUGGACUGGCUGAUGGAGCACGAAGACGACCCAGAUGUGGACGAGCCUCUAGAGACUCCCCUUGGACAUAUCCUGGGACGGGAGCCCACUUCCUCAGAGCAAGGCGGCCUUGAAGGAUCUGGUUCUGCUGCCGGAGAAGGCAAACCCGUUUUGAGUGAAGAGGAAAGACAGGAACAGACUAAGAGGAUGUUGGAGCUGGUGGCCCAGAAGCAGCGGGAGCGUGAAGAGAGAGAGGAACGGGAGGCAUUGGAACGGGAACGGCAGCGCAGGAGACAAGGGCAAGAGUUGUCAGCAGCACGACAGCGGCUACAGGAAGAUGAGAUGCGCCGGGCUGCUGAGGAGAGGCGGAGGGAAAAGGCCGAGGAGUUAGCAGCCAGACAAAGAGUUAGAGAAAAGAUCGAGAGGGACAAAGCAGAGAGAGCCAAGAAGCCAGGAGCCUCCCAACAAGCGGGAGUAUGACCAGUGUCGCAUACAGGUCAGGCUGCCAGAUGGGACCUCACU